RNAcentral lists this ribosomal RNA (274 nucleotides) under uncultured bacterium. Its description in RNAcentral is "partial 16S ribosomal RNA". It matches the Rfam family "Bacterial small subunit ribosomal RNA", at positions 523 to 796 of the family's 1533-position model. The record is from RNAcentral.
AUACGGAGGGUGCAAGCGUUAUUCGGAAUCACUGGGCGUAAAGGACGCGUAGGCGGGUUGGCAAGUCAGAUGUGAAAUCCUACAGCUUAACUGUAGAACUGCAUUUGAAACUGCUAACCUAGAGUAUGGGAGGGGGAGAUGGAAUUAGUGGUGUAGGGGUAAAACCCGUAGAUAUCACUAGGAAUACCGAAAGCGAAGGCGAUCUCCUGGAACAUAACUGACGCUAAGGCGUGAAAGCGUGGGGAGCAAACAGGAUUAGAAACCCUAGUAGUCC